UGGUGGAGAUGCCGGGGA
Molecule: microRNA, 18 nt
Filed under: Bos taurus (domestic cattle)
Lineage: Eukaryota; Metazoa; Chordata; Mammalia; Artiodactyla; Bovidae
Description: bta-miR-2898
Source: miRBase by way of RNAcentral